RNAcentral lists this long non-coding RNA (1036 nucleotides) under Lepidothrix coronata (blue-crowned manakin). Its description in RNAcentral is "lncRNA (ENSLCOG00000013313.1)". The record is from RNAcentral. Lineage: Eukaryota; Metazoa; Chordata; Aves; Passeriformes; Pipridae.
GGCCUGAAGUGGUCUUUGUUCUGGGCUGAGCUUGGAGAAGUUAAGUUGCCUCUGCUGGUCAGGAUUUUUUUAAUAUAUAUAUAUACACACACAUAUAUAUACAUACAUACAUGUAUAUAAACACAAACGUGUGAUAAUUAUUUCAGGUGCUGAGAGAGAAAGGCCAUUCAAAGAGUCACUUACUGAUCUCCACCUGAGAGAAGGCUCAGCGACACAGAAAGCAGCAGCAUGAACAAGAGCUCUGGUGAUGGAGAGUGCAGCAAAGCCAGUUCCCUUCCCACAGGUCUCUCCAAACUUGUGAUGUGGGCACACAGUCACGGGACCAUAUGCAACGAGAUCCCAGCCCUGGAAUUUAUACAGAACACGGGUCACCUGAGCAGGGACAAUGCUAUGCUGUGGAUGUGCAGAGUCGGACAUGCCUAUCACUGGCAGUAUGAGAAGUUACAUGACAGAGACAGAGAAGGGACUGAGGCUGUAGGAAGGAAAAGGAGGCCCCAGUUUUCCGAGGCUUCAGCAAGGGAAGAUAGCUUUGGGGAAAAGAGGCUCAGGCUGACCCCAUCAUCUUUUGAGAGGGGUCAAGCAGAUGUUGGGAGCACAGGGUCAUGUGGCAGAUCCCCAGGAGUCACUCAGCAGAAGGCUGACACAGCCUAUGCAAGGCAUAAGAAGCCAUCACCCAGAGGGAGUCAAAAUACCAGGGAACUGAUGACAUCUUGCUCUGCAGCAGAGCAGCACUUGGCAGUCGCUGGGCUCCAAACUGGUGGUCAGAACGUGAAGCUCAAAGAUGAUGAUGAUGUACUGAUCAUCUCUGACGAAGAGCAGUGUGUGGCAGUUAAAGACAACCAAGGAGACAGAAUCAACCAGAAUGAUGUGUCAGAGCCACCUACUCAGGUGGAUUUGCAGAUGCUCCAAUGCCAGGAGUUGGCAUUUCACCAGCCAACAGCCCCUCAAAGAUCUGCCUUUGCCAGCAUGGCAGGGCCACCUCUAGCCCGUGCCUAUGUUCUGCAGUCCCCUGUCAGCAACCUGGAGGACCCGGGCA